CGGGAGAUUACGCCCUCUAGGAUCAACCAUAUCAGCACACCUAGUCAAGAGAACCACUAAACCUAGCCACCACCCAGACCAGGCCUAGUUUCCCUUUUGCCCCUCUUGUAUUCCUUCCCGCUCCUCCCUCGACUACCCGACCUGCGAUCCCUAGACAUGGGUUGGUCCGUUGACAGCCACAAAAGCAAGAAGGAGCCCAAAAACGGGCUUUCCUCACAAUAGGGGACCAUAAAUGGUCCAAACCAUUCGUCGACUGAACGUUUUGAGGGUUAACUUGGUUGAGAUUGCACAGGAGGAUGAAGAGAUAGAAUUCUGGGUCAUCAUCGUCCAGAGACCGCCAUUCUUGAUGGGUAAAAAUCAUUGUUUUAGAGGGUCCGGUAAUGAUGGCGAGUGUCACCCACAUUUUGCGCCCGUGAGCUUCGAACGGCUGGGGCUCGAGGCGUGGUCUACCAUCUGCCCAGUUGGGCGUUGCCGAUAGUAUCAGACCAUAGCACCCAGUAAAUCGCCCUUCAGUGGGUGCAAAGGUAUCAAUGUUGCUUUCUGUUCGUAGAUUGGUAAAAUAGGGGUGGUCGGGUUGAUGUCCCAGGUUCCCUAGAGCGGUGAUGAUGGUGGCGGGAUCAUAAGUGAUUCCUGAGUCUGUGGUGUGGAGGAGGACAGGUGGAGCGGAUCGUGCCAGCGGGAGAAAGGAGAGUAACCAGGGCUCCUCCCUGAUUUCAAUGACCCCACCGUGCUCGCGGAGGCCCUUCCCGUUGAGCAAGGAUUUCCCUCCUUCCUCAUUGAUAAUGGCAAACAUCUCUGGCCAGUCCCACGCCGGGGGGGAACCUCAUGCCAACAAUGUAAAGAUCAGAAUGCUACGAAAGAGAAAAUAUUAAAUAAGGGUAUACAGUCUGGUCUAACAAUGACCAUGUAGUCUACUUUUCUA
Molecule: small RNA, 922 nt
Filed under: Cryptococcus neoformans H99
Lineage: Eukaryota; Fungi; Basidiomycota; Tremellomycetes; Tremellales; Cryptococcaceae
Description: Cryptococcus neoformans var. grubii H99 hypothetical RNA
Source: RNAcentral